Molecule: ribosomal RNA, 253 nt
Filed under: uncultured bacterium
Lineage: Bacteria
Description: partial 16S ribosomal RNA
Rfam family: Bacterial small subunit ribosomal RNA
Source: RNAcentral
UACGGGGGGGGCAAGCGUUGUUCGGAAUUACUGGGCGUAAAGGGCUCGUAGGCGGCCAACUAAGUCAGACGUGAAAUCCCUCGGCUUAACCGGGGAACUGCGUCUGAUACUGGAUGGCUAGAGAUUGGGAGAGGGAUGCGGAAUUCCAGGUGUAGCGGUGAAAUGCGUAGAUAUCUGGAGGAACACCGAAGGCGAAGGCAGGUGACUGGACCGUUAUUGACGCUGAGUCGCGAAAGCCGGGGGAGCAAACAGG